AGCGAACGCUGGCGGUAGGCCUAACACAUGCAAGUCGAACGGCAGCACAGGAGAGCUUGCUCUCUGGGUGGCGAGUGGCGGACGGGUGAGGAAUACAUCGGAAUCUACUUUUUCGUGGGGGAUAACGUAGGGAAACUUACGCUAAUACCGCAUACGACCUACGGGUGAAAGCAGGGGACCUUCGGGCCUUGCGCGAUUGAAUGAGCCGAUGUCGGAUUAGCUAGUUGGCGGGGUAAAGGCCCACCAAGGCGACGAUCCGUAGCUGGUCUGAGAGGAUGAUCAGCCACACUGGAACUGAGACACGGUCCAGACUCCUACGGGAGGCAGCAGUGGGGAAUAUUGGACAAUGGGCGCAAGCCUGGUCCAGCCAUACCGCGUGGGUGAAGAAGGCCUUCGGGUUGUAAAGCCCUUUUGUUGGGAAAGAAAUCCAGCUGGCUAAUACCCGGUUGGGAUGACGGUACCCAAAGAAUAAGCACCGGCUAACUUCGUGCCAGCCGCCGCAGUAA
Molecule: ribosomal RNA, 506 nt
Filed under: uncultured bacterium
Lineage: Bacteria
Description: partial 16S ribosomal RNA
Rfam family: Bacterial small subunit ribosomal RNA
Source: RNAcentral